GAUCGAAAUUUUUGAUGAAAUGAUUAUUCCACGACUUAUAUAUCACUUGUAAACGUGAAAUAUACUCUGUCAACGGUUAGUAGCAAAGAAAAAGUGAAACUGUAAUUCUAUAAUGUUCAGAAAUAACUGUUUGAAAAAUAUCGUGAAAAAAAUCCGUAUAUAAAUGUUUCAAAAUGAAAAAUUCCUGAAAGUUUUACAAUUAUAUAAUAGAGAUACAUAGUCCAGUUGACAAUUAUCAUUCGAUACGAUAUAUUACAUAUUUUUGUACAUCUACGCAGUAACAAAGAAAAAAAAAUUGAAAACUUACCUUGCUUUUCUUUUACGGCUUUGCAGUUUUAUGAAGAUAAAAGAUGAGAAUAUUCUAUUCUUCUUCUAUUCUCUCUAAAUGAGAUAUCAUGAGGAUUAUUUCCAAGCUAAAACUCGUAUAUGUAAUAACCUAUUGAAGUUAUUUAAAAUAAUUAUUUCAAGUGUGAUUUGAAAUGAUCUAUGAAAGGAGUAAAAAAUCAAUAGACAUUUUAAAAAACUGUGGUACAUAAUUACAAAGUGCGAUACGGACGGAGCGAUCAGCAGGCCGAAUUCCUCUUCAGUUCUUCACGCGUGCAUAUGUUACACUUUUUAUAUAAUACAUACAUUCAGUCAUAGGUAAUACGUAAUAAUUGAAAUAUUGAAGUUUUCUUUACUUGUAUUUUCGAUAUUUCGAUCAGUUGAAUAGUUAUAUGGAACACCAAGUUGGUUCGUUCCAUAUAGAUUCAUUUCAUCGCAUUUUACUCUUCCUUCAUGUAAAUAAUUAUCGUCGAAAUAAUAUAGACGAAAGAUGUAACAAACUAAGAAAUUUGAUAAUUCCACGAUUUUAUAUAUUUUGAAACUUUUAUUAUCGCUAUUUGUAUUGUUUUGAAACAUAAAGGAAACGAUAAAUUUCUUUCUUGCAAAAUAUUAUUAUUAUUAUUAUUAUUAUUAUCAUAAUUAAUAACUUUAUCAUCAAAAAUGCUAAAUUAAAAGAAACGUUUUCCUUUAUUUCCAUGAAACUUGAUUAAAGUAAUUACCGGACACAAUACUUUCUAUGUAAAUCGUACAUUUGAUAAAUUUCAAUGGUAAUAUUUCCGUUUCAGCUUUCUUUGAUUUUUAUGUCGUUGACAUUUCUAACAUUUUAUUUCUCUCAAAAUUUAUUUUAUUAAAAUUCAUCGUUUCCUCCAUUCUUUUCGUUCCUAUUUUCGUAUCAAAAAAAAAAAAAAAAUUGCGUUUUGGAAUAUUACAAACAUCGUUUAUAAUCAAUUAUUUUAUAAAUAAAUAAAAAAAAGGACGCUAUUCUUUUAUUUAUUUCAUUAAAGGAUAUCUUCUGCUUGUUUUCUUUGAAUCACAUUUGUUUAAUUAAAAGUAUAACGGUAUAAUAUUAAUUCGAUGGAAUCGCUGAAAGUAUUUUUAAUUUCGAAAUUUACGUUUCCAAAAAAUAAUUAAAUUUUUCAUCUUUUCUAUAUAAUAUUUUGUUCAAAAUGUAAAUCCUCUUCCUAUAUUCCUAUAUUCCUUGAACAAAAUAAUUUUAUUUUCUUUUUUUUUUUUGCAAUAACUUUUGCACGUUUUGAAUUUCUCUGAAUUUGCAUAUAUAUAAUACGUAUAUAUAUAUAUAUCUAUCUUACAGAUAAUACUAAUAACAACGCGAAAUAGAAAAAUUACAAGGGAAACGUAAAUUUCAAGCAACGUCUUUUUUUUUUUUUUUUUUUCUUUACGAAUACAUAAAUCGAUCGAUCGAUACAAUGGUAUUAUCGAUGAAUCUCAUUAUAAACUUGUAAUUAAUUACAAAUCAUCGUGCAUUUCUCUUAUAUUACAUAAAUAAAUAUUCACUGACUAGUGUGCAAUAUUGGCUCGCAACACAAUCGCAAUUAAAUUAAUUAUGUAAGUAUUUACGAAACUGCACAACUUUUUCCUCCCGUCAUCUAACGCUUAAAUAAUAAUUAAUGAUUUUUGAAUUCGGCGCGCCGAAGGGACACUCCGAUCCGUUUCCUUUUUUUCUUCCUUUUUUUUUUUUCUUUUCUUUUCUUUUUUUUUUUUUUAUACAAAAGCUUAUACAACAAGUAAACAACAAAAAAGCUUGAAACGCCGAGCAAUUUCGAUUUAUCGUGUUCCUUCUUACUUUCUCGUCAUUCCCCAUUCUUCAUCAUUCUUUCAUUCCGUUUCUGUUUUCAAUUCACAAAACAAUCGGUAGGAUUUUUCGUCGACGUUCCUUUUUUUUUAGGUUAGGUUUCCUCUCCGUCGACUUUCUUUAAAUGCUUCCUUCCCUUUCUUCCCCCUCCCCCCCAUAAAUUUCUUUAUUUUUCACAAAGUAUGCAUCCAUGGAAUACUUUUCCCCAUCUUUUUCGAAUCGAUCGAUCCUUUUUUUUUUUCAAUCGAUUUUACAACUUUACAACCAACGUAUACAUACAUACAAUAUGUUACAUGCACGGGAACGAAUUGUACGAACGAAUCCGUGACAUUAUUGGUUCUUCUAAAGAAAAAUAUAACAGUAUCAGUGAAAAGUUUCAACGCGUGUCAUAUCGAUUUACCCGAAAAAAAAAAAAAAAAGAAAAAGAAAAAAAAACGAACAAAUAAAAUAAACAUUGAAAUAUACAAUGUAUAUACAAUGUAUAUUUGUAAUUUGAAUGUGAAAUAUUUCUCGAUACGAAUAUUAAUCGUAUUAUUCGUAAUGCAAAACGUAAAUGUAUAUAUUUAUGCAAAUACAUAUAUACGGUAAAACGGUAUACCGGUUUAUUUCUCGGAGCAAAUAUUUAUAUAAAUUGAGGAGAGGGAGGGGGGCAAAAAAAAAAAAAAGAAAAAAACGUUUAAAAAGUCAAAUCAUCAUCGAAGAAAAACUCGGAUCGAGUAAGAAAUAGAUCACGCGAGUCAGAUCACGAGUUUUGUAUUUUAAAUGUUUUCGUGUUUCGAUGAACGCACGAAUACAUGCGUUACAAUAGAAGAUGAGAAAUAUGAAUAUUCGAUGAUAAAAUUUAAGUGAUAAGGAUGCAUAAUAAUCGGUAUUCCAUUAUUAUACGUAUGUAUACAUAUACCGAGACACAUACGGAUUUAUGUACAACUCACGAUAACAGUUAAUUUAAAAUUUUUUUUUUUUUUUUUUACAUCUUGGAAUUAUUACAUUGUUACAGCGUUAGUCGCUUUUAUCUUUCGCAAAAGUAAUUUGUUCCUUCCCCUUUCUCGAAGGAAUUUCAUUUUAUUUUCGAAGAUACCUAAUUCAUAACCUCAAUCCGUUCCAACAGUGGCGAAUAAUCCUUUGCUAAAAACGCAUGAAAUGUCGUAAGAAAAGUUUUUACAAAGAAUCGCAACAACACGGCACUGCGAAAUAGUGUACUAUUUCCAUGAUUUGCGCAAUACUUAUGUUUUUAUCACAUCGUUCGAUGUUAUUUCCAUAAUAUUACGUACCUCUAUAGAGUAUUUCCGACAAUUCUAUAAUAUAGUAUACAUAUGUGUAUUUCAUUUGACCAAUCAGAAAUAACAAAGAUUUUACACGAUGCGUAACCGCGUCUCUAUUAUAUUUAACAUUUUUCGUUACUUCGAUAUUAUUCGGUAAUUAUAUAAAAGAUUACUCGAAAAACGUACCGUAAACAUUGGUAAGAUUAGUUUUUCUCUUUUUAUAUUUCAGAAAACAAAUAUAUGAUCGAUUAAAAUUGAAAGGAUAAAGAAUCGGUCAAAACUGUAUCGUUGUUGUUGUUGUUGUUGUUGUUUCUCUUCAUCGAUCGGUAAAUUGCAUUUUUCUUUUUUGUUUAUUUAUUGCAAAUCAUUCCUGAAAUUUGAUUUCAUCGAAUCUAUUCGCUGAGAGAAUUAUUAUUAGGAACCUUUUCUCUAGCUUUUUUUUUUGUUUUUUUUUUUGUUUUUUUUCUUUUCUUUUCACAUAUACAAUUAUACGAAUUACACGUUGUAUCCUAUUCGUCAUAUCGGGACGAGAAAAGUAAGAGAAAUUGAUGUGUCGAGGAUUCGGGAAGAAUGGGUAAUGGGAAAUGAUAUUGAGAAAUAACUGAAUUUCACCUGUUAUUGCCGCGUACGCGUGCCUCGAUUCAACAGCUUCGUUCAUCGUGUGCAAGGUACUUACCACCUUGUACAUAUACACCAUACGUAACUAUAUAUAUAUAUCGAUCGAAGGACGAAAAAGUCUCCCGUUGCUUUGUCUUGCAAGGAAAUUCUAUACUCGCGAAACUCGUAUAUUUUGAAGAAAUAUUUUUUUGCGUAUAGAAUAUAUAGAACAUGUCGUACACGCGAAAUAAUUUUUUUCAAGGAGCGAAAUCAAUCCUCCCAGUUUCUAUAAAAUACAAUAUUCGCUUAGGAAUAUUUUUCACUCUUUCAUGCAGAAUGACGUAGCAUUAAAACGUUUUACACAUUUCAAAUCUAUCUUUAUGCAUCGCAUAAAGUUUCACGAUGAAAAAUUAAUCCGAGUCGAGGAAAAAAAA
RNAcentral lists this long non-coding RNA (4430 nucleotides) under Apis mellifera (honey bee). Its description in RNAcentral is "uncharacterized LOC102654570". Lineage: Eukaryota; Metazoa; Arthropoda; Insecta; Hymenoptera; Apidae. The record is from RNAcentral.